GCUCAAAAUAAAAUUUAGAGUGAAACCUGCCCAGUGAUUUUAAAUUAAAAAAUAUUAAUUUAUUUAAAUAAAAUUAAACGGACGCAGUAUCUUGACUGUGGUAAUGUAGCAUAAUAAUUUACCAUUUAAUUGGUGGAUGGUAUGAAUGGUUAAACGAAUAUUUCAUUGUCUUAAGAAAAAAAUUUAUAAAAUUAAAUUAAUAGUUAAGAUGCUAUUUAAAAUUGUAAGACGAAAAGACCCUAUAGAGCUUAACUAAAAUCUUUUUUAAAAUAACAAAUUUUAAUUUUAAAAUUAAAAAGAUUGUUAGUUUAGUUGGGGCGACUACCUUUUAUUUAAAACAAAGGUAAACAAAGUUUAAAAAAUAACUUAUUGUAUAAAAAAUAAUUUUAACAAUUAUAAAAAUAGGUUUUAAUGACCCGUUAUUUUUACAAAAAAAUAAUAACGAUUAAUAAAUAAAAGCUACCUUAGGGAUAACAGAAUAAUUUUAGUUUAGAGACCUUAUCGAAGCUAAAGUUUGUCACCUCUAUGUUGAAUUAAGAUAUCCAAAUAAUGCAGAAGUUAUUAAGGGUAGGUCUGUUCGACCUUUAAAAUCUU
Molecule: ribosomal RNA, 594 nt
Filed under: Bargmannia amoena
Lineage: Eukaryota; Metazoa; Cnidaria; Hydrozoa; Siphonophorae; Pyrostephidae
Description: partial 16S ribosomal RNA
Rfam family: Bacterial large subunit ribosomal RNA
Source: RNAcentral